AACUUUCAGCAAUGGAUCUCUUGGUUCUGGCAACGAUGAAGAACGCAGCGAAAUGCGAUAAGUAAUGUGAAUUGCAGAAUUUAGUGAAUCAUCGAAUCUUUGAACGCACAUUGCGCCCCCUGGUAUUCCGGGGGGCACACCUGUUCGAGCGCCAUUUCAACCCUCAAGCCUCGCUUGGUGAUGGGCCCCGCCCGCGCGGCGGGCCCGAAACUCGUGGGCGCCGUCGUCCCGGCUCCGAGCGUAGCAAAACCCUCGCUCGGGUGCCGGCCGUCGGCCGCCGUCGAACCAUCUCACAAGGUUGGCCUCGGAUCAGGUGGGGAUACCCGCUGAACUUAAGCAUAUCAAUAAGCGGAGGCU
This 357-nucleotide unclassified non-coding RNA is filed under the name uncultured Venturiaceae. Its description in RNAcentral is "sequence contains ITS2". The stretch from base 1 to 154 matches the Rfam family "5.8S ribosomal RNA". The record is from RNAcentral. Lineage: Eukaryota; Fungi; Ascomycota; Dothideomycetes; Venturiales; Venturiaceae.